GCGUAGAAGUCGGGAGGAAUACCGGUUGCGAAGGCGGCCUCCUGGACAAAGUCUGACGUUCAGGUGCGAAAGCGUGGGAAGCAAACAGGAUUGGAUAUCCUGGUAGUCCACGCCGUAAACGGAUGUCUACUUGGAGGUUGUGACUUUGAGGCGUGGCUUCCUGGAGCUAACGCGUUAAGUAGACCGCCUUGGGGGAGUACGGCCGCCAAGGUUAAAACUCAAAUGAAUUGACGGGGGCCCCGCACAAGCGGUGGAGCAUGUGGUUUAAUUCGAUGCAACGCGAAGAACCUUACCUGGUCUUGACAUCCACAGAACUUUCCAGAGAUGGAUUGGUGCCUUUCGGGAACUGUGAGACAGGUGCUGCAUGGCUGUCGUCAGCUCGUGUUGUGAAAUGUUGGGUUAAGUCCCGCAACGAGCGCAACCCUUAUCCUUUGUUGCCAGCGGUCCGGCCGGGAACUCAAAGGAGACUGCCAGUGAUAAACUGGAGGAAGGUGGGGAUGACGUCAAGUCAUCAUGGCCCUUACGACCAGGGCUACACACGUGCUACAAUGGCGCAUACAAAGAGAAGCGACCUCGUGAGAGCAAGCGGACCUCAUAAAGUGCGUCGUAGUCCGGAUUGGAGUCUGCAACUCGACUCCAUGAAGUCGGAAUCGCUAGUAAUCGUGGAUCAGAAUGCCACGGUGAAUACGUUCCCGGGCCUUGUACACACCGCCCGUCACACCAUGGGAGUGGGUUGCAAAAGAAGUAGGUAGCUUAACCUUCGGGAGAGCGCUUAUCACUUUGGAAUACAGG
RNAcentral lists this ribosomal RNA (792 nucleotides) under Salmonella enterica subsp. enterica serovar Typhi. RNAcentral's name for it is "bacterial SSU rRNA". It matches the Rfam family "Bacterial small subunit ribosomal RNA", at positions 688 to 1473 of the family's 1533-position model. The record is from RNAcentral. Lineage: Bacteria; Pseudomonadati; Pseudomonadota; Gammaproteobacteria; Enterobacterales; Enterobacteriaceae.